This 335-nucleotide RNase P RNA is filed under the name Tissierellia bacterium. RNAcentral describes it as "RNase P RNA component class A". It matches the Rfam family "Bacterial RNase P class A". From Rfam's summary of the family: Ribonuclease P (RNase P) is a ubiquitous endoribonuclease, found in archaea, bacteria and eukarya as well as chloroplasts and mitochondria. Its best characterised activity is the generation of mature 5'-ends of tRNAs by cleaving the 5'-leader elements of precursor-tRNAs. The record is from RNAcentral. Lineage: Bacteria; Bacillati; Bacillota; Tissierellia.
CAACCAGGUCGGGUGACCGCGUACCGCAAGGUAUGAGGAAAGUCCGAACUCCAUGAGCAAGGGCGCUGGGUAACACCCAGUGGAGGUGACUCCAAGGAUAGUGCAACAGAAAGAUACCGCCUCCCUGCGAGGUAAGGAUGGAAAGGUGGGGUAAGAGCCCACCAGCGAACUGGCGACUGUUCGGCUAUGUAAACCCCGCCCGGAGCAAGACCAAAUGGGGGACAUUAUGAAGAGCUCCUUCGUCCCGUGGUAGGUCGCAAGAACACCGUCGGCAACGCGGUGUCCAGAUAGAUGGUCAUCCUCGACAGAAAUCGGCUUACAGACCUGGUUGCUGC